GGGAAAAACAAGAAGGAGAGGAAGCUUCUAACUUCAGUCUCAGGCGGUUAAACUCCGUCUUUAUUCCU
This 68-nucleotide transfer RNA is filed under the name Macrobrachium rosenbergii (giant freshwater prawn). RNAcentral's name for it is "tRNA-Ser". The record is from RNAcentral. Lineage: Eukaryota; Metazoa; Arthropoda; Malacostraca; Decapoda; Palaemonidae.